RNAcentral lists this ribosomal RNA (425 nucleotides) under uncultured bacterium. RNAcentral describes it as "partial 16S ribosomal RNA". It matches the Rfam family "Bacterial small subunit ribosomal RNA", at positions 354 to 796 of the family's 1533-position model. The record is from RNAcentral.
GUGGGGAAUCUUGCGCAAUGGGCGAAAGCCUGACGCAGCCAUGCCGCGUGAAUGAUGAAGGUCUUAGGAUUGUAAAAUUCUUUCACCGGGGACGAUAAUGACGGUACCCGGAGAAGAAGCUCCGGCUAACUUCGUGCCAGCAGCCGCGGUAAUACGAAGGGGGCUAGCGUUGCUCGGAAUUACUGGGCGUAAAGGGCGCGUAGACGGACAGCUUAGUCAGAGGUGAAAGCCCAGGGCUCAACCUUGGAAUGGCCUUUGAUACUGGCUGUCUUGAGUUUGGGAGAGGUGAGUGGAACUCCGAGUGUAGAGGUGAAAUUCGUAGAUAUUCGGAAGAACACCAGUGGCGAAGGCGACUCACUGGCCCAAUACUGACGCUGAGGCGCGAAAGCGUGGGGAGCAAACAGGAUUAGAACCCCCAGUAGUCC